RNAcentral lists this transfer RNA (87 nucleotides) under Gammaproteobacteria bacterium. RNAcentral's name for it is "tRNA-Leu". It matches the Rfam family "tRNA". Rfam says of the family: Transfer RNA (tRNA) molecules are approximately 80 nucleotides in length. Their secondary structure includes four short double-helical elements and three loops (D, anti-codon, and T loops). Further hydrogen bonds mediate the characteristic L-shaped molecular structure. tRNAs have two regions of fundamental functional importance: the anti-codon, which is responsible for specific mRNA codon recognition, and the 3' end, to which the tRNAs corresponding amino acid is attached (by aminoacyl-tRNA synthetases). tRNAs cope with the degeneracy of the genetic code in two manners: having more than one tRNA (with a specific anti-codon) for a particular amino acid; and 'wobble' base-pairing, i.e. permitting non-standard base-pairing at the 3rd anti-codon position. Lineage: Bacteria; Pseudomonadati; Pseudomonadota; Gammaproteobacteria. The record is from RNAcentral.
GCCCGGGUGGUGAAAUUGGUAGACACAAGGGACUUAAAAUCCCUCGGGGGAAACCCCGUGCCGGUUCGAGUCCGGCCCUGGGCACCA